This 2582-nucleotide ribosomal RNA is filed under the name Escherichia coli. Its description in RNAcentral is "partial 23S ribosomal RNA". It matches the Rfam family "Bacterial large subunit ribosomal RNA", at positions 375 to 2925 of the family's 2925-position model. Lineage: Bacteria; Pseudomonadati; Pseudomonadota; Gammaproteobacteria; Enterobacterales; Enterobacteriaceae. The record is from RNAcentral.
GUACACAAAAAUGCACAUGCUGUGAGCUCGAUGAGUAGGGCGGGACACGUGGUAUCCUGUCUGAAUAUGGGGGGACCAUCCUCCAAGGCUAAAUACUCCUGACUGACCGAUAGUGAACCAGUACCGUGAGGGAAAGGCGAAAAGAACCCCGGCGAGGGGAGUGAAAAAGAACCUGAAACCGUGUACGUACAAGCAGUGGGAGCACGCUUAGGCGUGUGACUGCGUACCUUUUGUAUAAUGGGUCAGCGACUUAUAUUCUGUAGCAAGGUUAACCGAAUAGGGGAGCCGAAGGGAAACCGAGUCUUAACUGGGCGUUAAGUUGCAGGGUAUAGACCCGAAACCCGGUGAUCUAGCCAUGGGCAGGUUGAAGGUUGGGUAACACUAACUGGAGGACCGAACCGACUAAUGUUGAAAAAUUAGCGGAUGACUUGUGGCUGGGGGUGAAAGGCCAAUCAAACCGGGAGAUAGCUGGUUCUCCCCGAAAGCUAUUUAGGUAGCGCCUCGUGAAUUCAUCUCCGGGGGUAGAGCACUGUUUCGGCAAGGGGGUCAUCCCGACUUACCAACCCGAUGCAAACUGCGAAUACCGGAGAAUGUUAUCACGGGAGACACACGGCGGGUGCUAACGUCCGUCGUGAAGAGGGAAACAACCCAGACCGCCAGCUAAGGUCCCAAAGUCAUGGUUAAGUGGGAAACGAUGUGGGAAGGCCCAGACAGCCAGGAUGUUGGCUUAGAAGCAGCCAUCAUUUAAAGAAAGCGUAAUAGCUCACUGGUCGAGUCGGCCUGCGCGGAAGAUGUAACGGGGCUAAACCAUGCACCGAAGCUGCGGCAGCGACACUGUGUGUUGUUGGGUAGGGGAGCGUUCUGUAAGCCUGCGAAGGUGUGCUGUGAGGCAUGCUGGAGGUAUCAGAAGUGCGAAUGCUGACAUAAGUAACGAUAAAGCGGGUGAAAAGCCCGCUCGCCGGAAGACCAAGGGUUCCUGUCCAACGUUAAUCGGGGCAGGGUGAGUCGACCCCUAAGGCGAGGCCGAAAGGCGUAGUCGAUGGGAAACAGGUUAAUAUUCCUGUACUUGGUGUUACUGCGAAGGGGGGACGGAGAAGGCUAUGUUGGCCGGGCGACGGUUGUCCCGGUUUAAGCGUGUAGGCUGGUUUUCCAGGCAAAUCCGGAAAAUCAAGGCUGAGGCGUGAUGACGAGGCACUACGGUGCUGAAGCAACAAAUGCCCUGCUUCCAGGAAAAGCCUCUAAGCAUCAGGUAACAUCAAAUCGUACCCCAAACCGACACAGGUGGUCAGGUAGAGAAUACCAAGGCGCUUGAGAGAACUCGGGUGAAGGAACUAGGCAAAAUGGUGCCGUAACUUCGGGAGAAGGCACGCUGAUAUGUAGGUGAAGUCCCUCGCGGAUGGAGCUGAAAUCAGUCGAAGAUACCAGCUGGCUGCAACUGUUUAUUAAAAACACAGCACUGUGCAAACACGAAAGUGGACGUAUACGGUGUGACGCCUGCCCGGUGCCGGAAGGUUAAUUGAUGGGGUCAGCGCAAGCGAAGCUCUUGAUCGAAGCCCCGGUAAACGGCGGCCGUAACUAUAACGGUCCUAAGGUAGCGAAAUUCCUUGUCGGGUAAGUUCCGACCUGCACGAAUGGCGUAAUGAUGGCCAGGCUGUCUCCACCCGAGACUCAGUGAAAUUGAACUCGCUGUGAAGAUGCAGUGUACCCGCGGCAAGACGGAAAGACCCCGUGAACCUUUACUAUAGCUUGACACUGAACAUUGAGCCUUGAUGUGUAGGAUAGGUGGGAGGCUUUGAAGUGUGGACGCCAGUCUGCAUGGAGCCGACCUUGAAAUACCACCCUUUAAUGUUUGAUGUUCUAACGUUGACCCGUGAUCCGGGUUGCGGACAGUGUCUGGUGGGUAGUUUGACUGGGGCGGUCUCCUCCUAAAGAGUAACGGAGGAGCACGAAGGUUGGCUAAUCCUGGUCGGACAUCAGGAGGUUAGUGCAAUGGCAUAAGCCAGCUUGACUGCGAGCGUGACGGCGCGAGCAGGUGCGAAAGCAGGUCAUAGUGAUCCGGUGGUUCUGAAUGGAAGGGCCAUCGCUCAACGGAUAAAAGGUACUCCGGGGAUAACAGGCUGAUACCGCCCAAGAGUUCAUAUCGACGGCGGUGUUUGGCACCUCGAUGUCGGCUCAUCACAUCCUGGGGCUGAAGUAGGUCCCAAGGGUAUGGCUGUUCGCCAUUUAAAGUGGUACGCGAGCUGGGUUUAGAACGUCGUGAGACAGUUCGGUCCCUAUCUGCCGUGGGCGCUGGAGAACUGAGGGGGGCUGCUCCUAGUACGAGAGGACCGGAGUGGACGCAUCACUGGUGUUCGGGUUGUCAUGCCAAUGGCACUGCCCGGUAGCUAAAUGCGGAAGAGAUAAGUGCUGAAAGCAUCUAAGCACGAAACUUGCCCCGAGAUGAGUUCUCCCUGACUCCUUGAGAGUCCUGAAGGAACGUUGAAGACGACGACGUUGAUAGGCCGGGUGUGUAAGCGCAGCGAUGCGUUGAGCUAACCGGUACUAAUGAACCGUGAGGCUUAACCUUACAACGCCGAAGGUGU